GAUCUCUUGGUUCUGGCAUCGAUGAAGAACGCAGCGAAAUGCGAUAAGUAGUGUGAAUUGCAGAAUUCAGUGAAUCAUCGAAUCUUUGAACGCACAUUGCGCCCCUUGGUAUUCCAUGGGGCAUGCCUGUUCGAGCGUCAUUUGUACCCUCAAGCUU
This 157-nucleotide ribosomal RNA is filed under the name Alternaria longissima. RNAcentral describes it as "5.8S ribosomal RNA". The stretch from base 1 to 140 matches the Rfam family "5.8S ribosomal RNA". Rfam says of the family: 5.8S ribosomal RNA (5.8S rRNA) is a component of the large subunit of the eukaryotic ribosome. It is transcribed by RNA polymerase I as part of the 45S precursor that also contains 18S and 28S rRNA. RNAcentral also lists the same sequence under 1 other name. The record is from RNAcentral. Lineage: Eukaryota; Fungi; Ascomycota; Dothideomycetes; Pleosporales; Pleosporaceae.